UCUUUGCUGAUAUAUCGGUUAGUACACGCGCCUGUCAUGGGUUACUGGGUGACUGACCUGACUUUCAUCGCGCGAAAGCUGGGUUCAAUUCCCAGGCCGAGAG
Molecule: non-coding RNA, 103 nt
Organism: Termitomyces sp. 'cryptogamus'
Lineage: Eukaryota; Fungi; Basidiomycota; Agaricomycetes; Agaricales; Lyophyllaceae
Source: the annotation of a GenBank genome assembly